CCCUUAGAUGUUCUGGGCUGCACGCGUGCUACACUGAUUACUUCAACAAGUGUUUUAACUGGAGAGUUCGCGUAAUCCUGAAAUGUUAUCGUGAUGGGAGUAGAGUAUUGUAUUUGUUAAUCUUUAACGAGGACUUCCUAGUAAGUGUAGGUUUAUUUGUUUUUUUUUUUACGUCCCUGCCCUUUGUACACACCGCCCGUCGCUCCUACCGAUUGAUUGAUCCGGUGAAUUACAUAGAAUUUUGCGUUUUACAUGACGGAAGAGGAAGUGUUUUAAACCUUAUCAUUUAGAGGAAGGAGAAGUCGUGACA
Molecule: ribosomal RNA, 310 nt
Filed under: uncultured eukaryote
Lineage: Eukaryota
Description: partial 18S ribosomal RNA
Rfam family: Eukaryotic small subunit ribosomal RNA
Source: RNAcentral